CAGUCCAGCUUCUCUGCGCUGUGGAGCCCCAGUCAGUCCGACAGUGAAGGACACAGAAAGAGGAGAGAUUGUGCAGCAGUGCAGCGCAGGAAUAAUUAACUGAAUUAAAAUGGCAAAGAAGCAGGAGAAAAGCAUCACCCUCUCAUCUGUCUGACUGAAUAGUUGGAUAAAGCUGACAAGGAGGUACAACAGGAAUAACAAGGAGGAGGGGGAGGAGGUGCCAGAGGUCCGUUCAUGCUUAUUUCUCCUCUCGCACCGUCCGCCUGAGGAGCUUUGCUGCUGAUGGUGUCACUGCGACAGCGCUCAGUGAGGGAGCUGUGUGAGCGCGCUGGUGUGUCUGUUUAAAUAUCAACAGCUGAGAGUUCAUCUAUCAGGUGGAUGUGGAGUAAAUCUGGGAUUUGUGAGCUGGAAGAGUUUUGUUCAGGUKUCAGUUGAACAKUCCUCAUUUUCCCUCCUCUUCCCUUUUUUCCUUUGGUGCAUUCGUCUGUACGAGAAGCUUUGCCUGUUUGAUCAGGAACUGCUGCUGCGCUCUGCUUCCCCCUUUCCUACCUCGCUCUUCUUCAGCCCUCUGCCGGCUUUUUAGUWACUGUUCUGGGACUACAAUUGGCGGUCUGGUUUGGUGGCUCCCCCACAGACAGAAAAAGCAUAUGGAUGCCACUGCGUCUUAUACAUCGUUACCCAAUAUGCCAGAAGCCUGAAUCCUUGGGCGGACUCCACUGCAUAGGCUUCCAACCACAGUUGAUGCCUKCUGCCAUUCAGCCAACCCACACAUCAUCUUUGGCAGAUCCAUGUUGACUCUAUCUGUUCAAAGACUCAAUAGUCUCCAGCUGCUUCUUUGAGGACAUCAGAAAGAGAAAGGAAAAGUGGAAAAAAAAAAAAGAAAGAUUGCCGGGGUUUGAAAAUCUUGCUCCUCUGAUGAAUUCCCUUUUUUUUCCUGGAUUCUGAUUCUGUGAAGUGAAAAAAACCUGAACUGACACCAACCCUAAGCCUUGACACAGCGGGUGAAAUGUAAUUGAAAAAAACAAAAAUAUUGGACACUUCUUCCAACGAGCCUCCCCGCAGUGCUGAGUCACAGAAGGUGACAUGCGUCUCAUCCUACCAUGUAGCCACAACAACUUGAGGAAACCUCCCAGAAACUUUUCUUCCAAACACUCAGCUAUUUUUAACAAGCUGAUACACAACACUGAGUCAAUCAGCUGAGAGGAGACUUAURAAGUGCCACUGGGUUAUUAYCAGCCUGUKCACUUCCUAUUUACAUCUUUAAUCUUUGUUUUCUGAGUAAUUAUCUUUUUAAUUAAUGGCGACAGAGGCGUGAAUUCCUCCCUGCCACCUUCUUCAGCUCUUUCCUUUUUCACCGCUGCUAGAGACACCUGAAACCAAUUAACUACAACUGAUAUAGUUAUGGAUUAGACACAAGAAGAKCUGGAGUGAUUAGAUGUAAAUACAAAGAGAGUAAAAGGCGACCAAGAACAAAACAAGACCAAGAGAACGAAGAGGGUGAAAGAAAACCCGCCGGUCAACCUGGUAUUUGAUAAAAAGGAGGAUCAGAGGGCAGCGGAGGAUAUGGCCAGAUCAAGAUGCCAACACGCYAAGAUAAUAACUAGUUGUGAGUCAGUGGGGAAGAUUGACUGCAGGAGCCCAGAGUCUUGACUGACAGGCAAAGGACUCAUUGCCAUUCUUUGUGCUGUGCGAAGCAUAGCAUCACAGAGAGGGAGAGGAGAAACUCCUGGCUGGCUGCCACAAUCAGGGCCAAUUAGGAGAAUUUGAUUAUAUGCCUUAAUCUUGGCAGUCAGGUGGAAAAGCAGUCAGACRGAGAAAGAGGAGGCUGAGCAGGUGCCACCGAUACACACCAUUAUCUCCGUCCAUCUCUAAUUGAGUUUGUUUCUGCCCCUGUGAGUGUCUCAUCUCCAAACAAGAGUUUUAAGUGGUGGAGUUUSCUCAAGAGAAAACAGGAAAAGAGGGAGAGACAAAAAAAACCCCACUGUGUUUUCCUUUGGAGAUAUACAAGGACUGUUUUCUAUCUCCCUCAUCUCUUUAAACCUAUUUUCCAUCCCUCCCUCAAGAUUUAUCAUCSCAGUAUGGACUUGUCCUUUCUGGAAGUUUCCCUGCAGCUUCCUCUAUCUCCAUAUUGAGCCUGAGAUAAAAGCAAGAGAGGAACCGAUAGGCAUAGAAGGGAAAAGCAGCAGCAAGGUACUGAAUCCGUGGAGGACAGAGCAGACUUUAUUUCCUUCCUCAAUCUCAGACACCCCGAGGCUCCUGCCAAGUGUCCCCAAAGCUGCACUUCCUCUUUUUUAAAUUUCCUCGUCUCCCUCGGAGCCUGCUUCUCUGCUCCCCUCCUUGUGGAUCAUACGCUCCAUCCUGGACCUCACCAAGAUUAAAGUGGCCCCAGUUAUCCGAGGAAAUCCUUUGAUAUCGGCUCCCAGUGUUGUCAUCAUAAUUCUGUGGCGGUACAGGCAGCCAGCAGACCAUUCUCCAUGAGGAGCAGUGGAAGAUGCCGGCUCUGCCAGCACUGCUGCUGUCGAUUUAUGUUGUCGUCCUGCUGCUGACUAUGGCACCUCUCUUCUUCAGCCAGGUCAACACUCUAUCUGCCGUCCGGAUGGCGGCCAUUUUGGAUGACCAGUCUGUGUGUGGUCGUGGUGAGCGUCUGGCUCUGGCUCUGGCCAGGGAGAACAUUAACAAUCAGAUGGMGGGWUCAGCCCAGGCCAGGGUGGAGGUGGAUGUCUACGAGCUGCAGAAGGAUUCCCAGUACGACACCACCGACACCAUGUGCCAGAUCCUGCCUAAGGGCGUGGUCUCAGUGAUCGGCCCUGCCUCCAGUCCCGCCUCAGGGUCGACCAUCAGUCACAUCUGCGGGGAGAAAGAGAUUCCUCAUGUGAAGAUCGGCCCUGAAGAAACCCCCAAACUGCCAUACCUGCGCUUCGCCUCGGUGACUCUCUACCCGAGUAACGAAGACCUCAGUCUGGCCAUCGGAUCCAUCCUGCAGUCCUUUGGCUACCCAACAGCUAGCCUMAUUUGUGCUAAAGCAGAGUGCCUGCUCCGAUUGGAGGAGCUUGUUCGCCACUUCCUUAUCUCCAGAGAGACGCUGUCGGUGCGAAUGCUGGAUGAAAGUCUGGAUCCCACCCCUUUGCUGAAGGAGAUCCGUGACGACAAAGUGGCUACCAUCAUCAUCGAUGCUAAUGCCUCCAUAUCUUAUCAUAUUCUCAGAAAGGCUAAUGAGCUGGGGAUGAUGUCAGCCUUCUACAAGUACAUUCUCACCACCAUGGAUUUCCCUCUGCUCCAGCUAGAUGAUGUGGUGGGUGACCAGUCCAACAUCGUUGGUUUCUCCAUGUUGAACACCUCCCAUCCUUUCUACCUGGAUUUCAUCAGGAGCCUGAACUUGUCGUGGAAAGAAGGAUGCAACAUCAACCCAUACCCAGGACCUGCGCUGUCAUCCGCCCUGAUGUUUGAUGCUGUUCACGUGGUGGUGAGCGCGGUGCGGGAGCUGAACCGCAGUCAGGAGAUUGGCGUGAAGCCACUGAGCUGCACCUCCCCCCUCAUCUGGCAACAUGGGACCAGCCUCAUGAACUACCUACGCAUGGUGGAAUAUGACGGCCUGACAGGCCACAUUGAGUUCAACAGUAAAGGACAGAGGACCAACUACACCCUGAAGAUCUUGGAGAAACACCCUGCAGACCAUAAAGAGAUUGGCACUUGGUAUUCCAACAACACAUUGGCAAUGAACUCAACUUCCUUGGACCUCAAUGCCUCAGAAACACUAGCUAACAAGUCCUUAAUUGUCACCACCAUACUGGAAAACCCAUAUGUAAUGCGCAAGUCCAAUUAUCAGAACUUUCAAGGAAAUGAUCAGUACGAAGGUUUCUGUGUGGACAUGCUGAGGGAGCUGGCAGACAUCCUGAAGUUCUCCUUCAAGAUCAAGCUGGUGGAUGAUGGGCUAUAUGGAGCACCUGAGCCUAACGGCAGCUGGACCGGCAUGGUGGGGGAGUUGAUCAACAGGAAAGCUGACCUGGCCGUCGCCGGCUUCACCAUAACCUCAGAGAGGGAGAAGGUCAUUGAUUUCUCCAAGCCAUUCAUGACUCUGGGAAUCAGCAUCCUCUACCAAGUGCAUCUGGCUCGAAAACCGGGUUACUUUUCCUUUCUCGACCCGUUUUCUCCUGCUGUUUGGCUUUUCAUGCUGCUGGCCUACCUUGCUGUCAGCUGUGUUCUCUUCCUCGCCGCCAGGCUCAGUCCUUAUGAGUGGUACAACCCUCACCCAUGUCUACGGGAGCGGCGGGACAUCCUGGAGAACCAGUACACACUGGGAAACAGUCUGUGGUUCCCAGUUGGAGGCUUCAUGCAGCAAGGCUCAGAGAUUAUGCCRCGCGCCCUGUCCACCCGCUGCGUCAGCGGAGUCUGGUGGGCGUUCACUCUCAUCAUAAUCUCUUCCUACACGGCCAACCUGGCGGCGUUCCUCACYGUACAGAGAAUGGAGGUGCCGAUCGAGUCUCCUGACGACCUGGCAGACCAAACCAACAUCCAAUACGGCACCAUACAUGGAGGGUCCACCAUGACCUUCUUCAUGAACUCGCGGUACCAGACGUACCAGCGAAUGUGGAACUACAUGAAGUCCAAGCAGCCCAGUGUGUUUGUGAAGAGCACAGAAGAGGGUAUCGCCCGUGUCCUCAAUUCCAAGUACGCCUUCCUGAUGGAGAGCACCAUGAACGAGUACUACCGCAGCCUAAACUGCAACCUGACGCAGAUCGGAGGGCUGCUGGACACAAAGGGAUACGGCAUCGGCAUGCCGCUGGGCUCUCCAUACCGAGACGAGAUCACGCUGGGGAUCCUGCAGCUGCAGGAGAGCAACAGGCUGGAGAUUCUGAAGCGACGCUGGUGGGAGGGAGGCCAGUGUCCUAAAGAGGAGGACCACCGAGCCAAAGGUCUCGGCAUGGAGAAUAUCGGCGGGAUCUUUGUAGUUCUGAUCUGUGGCCUCAUCGUAGCUGUGUUUGUGGCCAUCAUGGAGUUUGUGUGGUCAACCCGCCGCACCGCUGAGACAGGCGAGGUCUCUGUUUGUCAGGAGAUGUUGACAGAGUUUCGAAAUGCAGUUUCUUGUAAGAAAAGUUCCCGGGCUCGUCGGCGACGCCCCCUGAGCAGUGCUGGGGGUGGAGUUCUGCGUCACCCCUCCCGACUAGCUCUUGCAGGCCCUAGGCCAAUUCGGCUAGUCCGAGAGAUGCGACUCAGCAAUGGGAAACUCUACAGUGGCACCGGGCCCCUGACUGGGGGUUUGGCGGGGCUGGGGGCAGGUAUGGCGACAGGACCUGAUUUGGGCCCGGGGCCACAGAGGCUCUUGAACGAUCCAUUAGGCGUCAACUCUGCCUCUAGUAACCCUCCUCCRCCUCCCCCUAUGCCAGCCUUUGAGGCUCCGCCCGCCCCACCACGCAGCUUCCUGCAGAGCUGCAGCCAUGUCCGCAUCUGCCAGGAGUGCCGGCGGAUCCAAAGUCUGCGGCCGGCCACGUUCACCCCUCCGCCUCCUCCUCCACCUUCGUCCUCCUCCUCUGCCUCGUCCUGCUCCCGUAUCCCUCCUUCUCUGGCGAUGUCGGGACAUCACCAUCGCCAUAACCCCCACCACCACCUCCACUACCACCACGGGUCCAUGUCAUUGCCCCGCCUCCCUCCUCCUCCUCCCCCAAUCUCAACAGACAGAGCCGACAGUGAUGGGGGAACGGCAAGCCCACUACGGGCGAAAAACAGACCCGCGCCUCCACCCAGGCCACCGCCCGCCAAAGCGCCAACAUACCCACCAACGGACUUACUUGGGGGACACAACUGUGCUUAAAAACAUUGAGUAAAGACUCAAAAGAUACAUUUUAAAACAUUCAAAACUUUUCCUUUGGCCCUAGCAACACAGCUGUACCUGUCCAAACUCCUGAGGAAGAGGGGAGAAGAAACUAUUUGGACCCAUUUGUAGGGUGGAUCCCUCAAAGUGGAGCCUUUGGCUCAGUUCACACUACAAACCUUUACUGAGUGAUGAUUGAUUCUAAGCCCUCUAACCUGGUAGCGGAGAGGAUUAAAUAAAUUGAACUCUGGAAUUUGCAACUUGAAGCAGUUGCACGAAUAGGCAAACAGAGAAUUAGCGAUCAGCUUCAGAUUCAGUCCACCAUCUCUUACCUCGGCAAAUCCUCCCACUGCGAGAACAGACGACUUUGAGACACAAACAGGUAGAGGUCACGGUUGUUUCCAUUUGAAUACUGAAGUAGGUGUUUGUGUAAGAGGAGACCUUCCCGCAGACAAGUGGUAGCAGAGCAGUUGUACAGUAAUCACGGUCUUCUGUCGCUCUUUUGGACGUUUGUGGAAGGAGGAUGUAGCUUUUUUCCCCCCCAUACUGUUUUGCUGUUUGUAAAGAUUCCUGCUGGCUGGUGCUGUGAUCCACAGAGCAGACAAACAAAAAAGUAAUUACUUGCCUAAAGUGUUCAAAACUGUGCUGAGGUAGUUCUUCUGUUACAUAGAAAAUGUAUCAAGUCAGAAAAAUGCACUGUGAGGCAUCUGAAGGUAAAUGGCUGAGAAACAACAAGAGUUCAUUAUUUUUAUAAAGAAAACAACAAAAAACAAGAAAAAAAAGUUUGAAAUCUUUGAGAUGUCAUGUUACACAACUUCAGGAUGUGACAUAACGAUGUUUUUAGCUAAAAAAAAAAAGGUAUUAUUUUUAGCAUCGUUUGGGGAGAAGAACAUCACUUAAGGCCUUUGCACACCAUGUCUCAGUUUAUGUCAGCAGAGUUAUCAUGAAAAUAAAUGUUAUUGUCUAAAAUGAAAUCAGAAAAAGUGUCUGAUGUGCAUCAACCAUUCAGAUAUAAAGAACCUGUAACUGUUUAUAGACGUGUUGGUCUUCUUUUAGAUGUGCUGAUCCAGUAUUGUCAGCAGCAUGCAUGAAUCGAUCUUGAAAUGGUCACAUAUGUUUUUUCAGCUUCACGCUUGGUUGGAUGGACCAGCUUUUUACUUAUUUUUCUACUGUAAACGACAACAAAACCGCCUUGACAACAUAGCAUUUCUAUUCUGCCUUGUACUGUAAAAUUUCCACAAAGGUUUGAUUAAUUAAACCCUUGGGACAACAUUUGCUAGCUUUUGGCUCUCAAAUUUGUUAGAUGACGGAUUAAGACAAUGUGUGUAGACUUGUGCAAAGGCCUUUUGGUUUGUAGUUUUUAAUUUAGCAUAUGAGGCUAUUUCUAUUAUCUAAUGACACUGAUGUCACAAAAUGGGUGAGCAGGUGAAUUUAAAAUACACCUCAAGAUGUCACUUUAACAUAUAUUUUUGUACGCAUUAGGUUAAUGUAAAAUUCAGAUGUAUAAAAUUUAUACUGAGUCAAGUUAGCAGUUUGAAACUCUUUCUUAGCAUGCUAGGCUAAGUGAGGCUAACAGGAAUGGAAAACUAAUUUCAAGAUGUUCCGGCAAGCAGUCAAAUGGGGAAACAUCUCCAGAUCUUAUUUUUGGAAAAUUAUCUUUCAUCCAGAGGCUGAAAAUAUCAGUUUUAUAUAAUUUUGUGUGAAACCAAGCUGCUUAAUAGCAGGGUUAUUUCCACAACGUUAGCCAUAGCUUAAAGCUAACUAGACCGUUCCUCUAAAUACAAAACCUUCAACCAGACUUAUCUUUUUUUUUUUAAUAAGGAUGAUUAAGUGGCCACAAUUGGGAUACUAAAUACUAUAAAUAUUAUUUCAGAUAAUAAUCAGAAGAUAAAAUGACGAGAGUUGUACCAAUUGAGAUUUUCAUCCCCUAAAACUGACCCAAGUAAUUUAAGAUCAGUAUUAGCCGAUACGUAUCUGCAUAUCACCCUACAGCUUAAAAGUCCAAUGAAAUGCAUUAGAUUCAUGGUGUGACUGUGUCUCACCAGUGAGAUUUUAGAUGCUAUAUUGUUUCCUAUUUGUCUUUCUUUUGCUGUAGGAUAACACUUCCAUGUUUCCUCUCUCUGGUCACGACUUGGUAAUUCGGCUCAUAAAACAUUUUUGUAUAAUUUCAGUAAUUCUUGUGCAGACGAACCUUACAGAGAAAGUUCUUCUGCUUCUUAAACUCGGACUUGUUCUUCGAACGUUGUCAGAUCUAAUAGCUAAACGGAGAUGCGUCUGAACGGAGUGCAGAGCGGGUCACGUGACAGAAAUGCUUGUAGUUUAUCUUUCACUCUGAGUGUCACUGUUAAACGGGGGAAAACAAACAGUUCAAUUAUUAUGUACUUGGCCUGCAAUGCAGUUUUGCAGUGCGUGCCUGUACAGGUUUGUCGUGUGUUCUUGCAAAUAUCAAUCAACAUAAAACCACAAAACUUACAGUAGUGAAAUGACUUGGAUGCCCGGGAGGUCUGCAAUUUGGUUCUCCCAUCUUAUCCAGUGUUUUUUGUUUGACUGCACAUAAAAUGUUCAAGUUACUAAACUUACCAAUUUGUAUUGGUGAGUUUAGUAAAUGUUUUAAGGUGUAGAUGUGACCAAGCUUAAUGCAUCUUUGUUAAGAUUUACAUUUCUAAUGCCAUUUUUUUUUUGUUUUUGUUUAAUGGAUGAAGAAAAUUAAAACACUGAAAACUGUGAUCUUUAAAAUGAUGUUCAAUUAUAAAAAAAAAAAAAAACACUGCAUUGUUGCGUGCUUUCAGUUCUUGAAACUCUGUCUACUCAGUGCGGGAUAUGUGGAUUCAGUAUUUACAGAAUGUUCUUUUAGUUUUUAUAGAGCAUAUCUAAGAUAUUCAAGGAAAAUGGCAGCUUGGGAAGAAGAAAUGAUACUCGACACGCCAUUGGCGGCUGUUUGCAAAGCAACAAUCUAGUCAUCUUCCUUUGGAGUUGAUUUGCUUUGCUGCUGUUCCCCCAAGAGUGAAGUAAACAUGGAUGUUAGGUUGUCCAGUAUCAUGACAGUAGUAAGGUAUUUGUUGUUUAAACUAUUAAAUUACACAUUUAUAAGCAUUUAGUUGGGAUCUCAAGUACUUGCAAAUUCCGGCUUUUGCCAGGCAGRUCUGGUCCCAAACCCCAGCAAGUACCGAGGAUGCACUGUAAUGCUUGGGGAUUUUUAUUCAUUAAUGUUGCAGAAAAUUUUGCAAACCUAAUAAAAAAUCCAAAGUUGUUCUAACUAAGACUAUAUGGACCCUUUUACCUCAGAUAAAGAUGCUAGAAAAUAAAUUCACUGAACACACAGAUAGUGAAGAACUACCUCAGUGCAGUUUCAUCAGUUUUAGGUCAGUUUAUUCCGUUUAGGUCGUUUUUAGCUCAAAGGAGUUUGGAAACUUUGUACUGUGCACACACACCUGAGAACACGCAUACAUACAAACACACAUGCAGAAACAUGUUUGACUGUAAACUUGGUGGACAAGCUGAAGCAGAACAACACACUAAAUUUGUGAUUGUAUUUUCAUUGUGUCCAAUUGGAGUUGCAAUAUUAUAUUUUUUUAUACAAUGGAAAUUUUUCCUGAAUAUUGAUUUCUAAUCAAAUUCCCCGGCCCUGGAUCAUCAUAAACAUGUUGGUUAUGAACAGCAGUCCCACAUGUGAAGGCUUACGGUUACGUAACUGUGACUAGAGAAAAAUGAAACCUUGUUUUGAAGAGCAGUGCCUGUACAUUUUUAUUCAUUUUGUGAUUUUUGUUUUACUUUUCCACAAACUGUAAUACUGAGGGCAGCAGCAAAUGUGGAGAAUGUUGGCGAAAACCUAAAUGUCACUGACUAAUUAAGAUUUGUACCAGCAGAUUUCAGCUGUUUGCACCAGAACAGGGACGACAGAAGGACCCUACUCUGAUGAUUCUGAUGUUAUCAUGAUUAUUAUCGAUAUUGGUGUGUGGGGUGAAUCUAGGAGGGGCUCCUCCCUCUGAUAUUCAAUAUAUAGAAACAUAUUUGGAAUAAAAAAGGAAAAAAACAUUUUAAAAAGUCA
Non-coding RNA from Poecilia reticulata (guppy), 9857 nucleotides. The record is from RefSeq and is a predicted model, not a curated record. NCBI's taxonomy places the organism in Eukaryota, Metazoa, Chordata, Actinopteri, Cyprinodontiformes, Poeciliidae.